RNAcentral lists this ribosomal RNA (455 nucleotides) under uncultured organism. RNAcentral describes it as "partial 16S ribosomal RNA". It matches the Rfam family "Bacterial small subunit ribosomal RNA", at positions 329 to 800 of the family's 1533-position model. The record is from RNAcentral.
ACGUACACUCCUGCGGGAGGCAGCAGUGGGGAAUAUUGGACAAUGGGCGCAAGCCUGAUCCAGCCAUGCCGCGUGAGUGAUGAAGGCCCUAGGGUUGUAAAGCUCUUUUGUGCGGGAAGAUAAUGACGGUACCGCAAGAAUAAGCCCCGGCUAACUUCGUGCCAGCAGCCGCGGUAAUACGAAGGGGGCUAGCGUUGCUCGGAAUCACUGGGCGUAAAGGGUGCGUAGGCGGGUCUUUAAGUCAGGGGUGAAAUCCUGGAGCUCAACUCCAGAACUGCCUUUGAUACUGAAGAUCUUGAGUUCGGGAGAGGUGAGUGGAACUGCGAGUGUAGAGGUGAAAUUCGUAGAUAUUCGCAAGAACACCAGUGGCGAAGGCGGCUCACUGGCCCGAUACUGACGCUGAGGCACGAAAGCGUGGGGAGCAAACAGGAUUAGAUACCCCAGUAGUCCCAUGA